UGUUUUUAUUGAUCAUAACUACUUUCAUCUUCAUUAAUGUGGACUGUGCAAAAAUGACAAAUCGUCUUUCAUUCACAGGAAAAUAAAACAAAACAAGACAAAAAAAAACAUAUUAAAUAUCUGGAAAGAGGGUGUACUAUUAAUUUUUUCUCACUUCACUGACAUGCCAAAACUGAUGCCAUUCAUUACAUGUUUGUUAAUGUUAUGUAUUAUAUGUUUACAGGUGGUCUAUUUGACAGCUACCAAGAUGAGUAGAAAAACACUGACAAUUGCAUUGUUAAGUUUAGUGUUUUGUAGCGCAUCAGCUGAGUCAGCAAACUCACCUACAACUGAAUCUAUGACUGUCACAUCAUACUCACCUGCACAAACGACACAAUUCUGCUUACAACUGACACAACAGCAUAUACAAUACUGUUCAACAACAACUGAAACUCUGUUUACAACCACUGCCAAACCAACACAAACACCUGAAUCAACAAACUCACCUAUAACUGCAACAACUGAAUCUACGACUGUUAGAACAAACACAGCUACAACUAAAACUCGGCUUACAACUACAAGCCUUCCUACAGAAAAAACAACACAACUCACAACUGAGCAAUCAACUACAUCUGAACAAAGCACCACAAUGCAGUCAGCAAAUUCAUCCCUACCUACAACAAGUACAGCUCAAUCUACAACUGAGGUUACAACAAACUCACCCACAACUACAACUCUGCUUACAACUACAGCUCCUCCUACAGAAACAACAACAACACAACUUACAUCUACGGCUGAACCAAAAACCACAACUGCUGCAACAUCUACAACUGAACCAAAAACCACAACUGCUUCAACACCUACAACUGAACAAUCAACUACAUCUGAACAAAGCACCCCAAAGCAGACAACAACAUCAUCCCUACCUACAACAAGUACAGCUCAAUCUACAACCCUGGUUACAACAAACUCACCUACAACUACAUCUCGGAUUACAAUUUCAGCCCCUCCUACAGAAACAACAACAAAACUUACAUCUACAGCUGAACCAACAACCAUAACUGUUUCAACAUCUACAACUGAACUAUCAACUACAUCAGAACAAAGCACCACAACACAGACAGGAACAAAAUCCCUACCUACAACAAGUACAGCUCAAUCUACAACUGAGGUUACAACAAUCUCACCUACAACUGCAACUCUGCUUACAACUACAGCCCCUCCUACAGAAACAACAACAACACAACUUACAUCUACGGUUGAACCAACAACCACAACUGCUUCAUCAUCUACAGCUGAACCAACAACCACAAUUGCUUCAUCAUCUACAGCUGAACCAACAACCACAACUGUUUUAACAUCUACAACAGAACAAUCAACUACAUCAGAACAAAGCACCACAACACAGACAGGAACAAAAUCCCUACCUACAACAAGUACAGCUCAAUCUACAACUGAGGUUACAACAAUCUCACCUACAACUGCAACUCUGCUUACAACUACAGCCCCUCCUACAGAAACAACAACAACACAACUUACAUCUACGGUUGAACCAACAACCACAACUGCUUCAUCAUCUACAGCUGAACCAACAACCACAACUGUUUUAACAUCUACGAUAGAACAAUCAACUACAUCUGAACACACCACCACAAUGCAGAUGGCAACAACAUCCCUACCUACAACAAGUACAGCUCAAUCUACAACUGAGGUUACAACAAACUCACCUACAACUACAACUCUUCUUACAACUAAAACCCCUCCUACAGAAACAACAAGACUUACAUCUACUGCUGAACCAACAACCACAACUGCUUCAUCGUCUACAACUGAACUAACAACCAUAACUGCUUCAACACCUUCAACUGAACAAUCAACUACAUCUGAACAAAGCACCCCAAUGCAGACAACAACAUCAUCCCUACCUACAACAAGUACAGCUCAAUCUACAACCCUGGUUACAACAAACUCACCUACAACUACAUCUCGGGUUACAAUUACAGCCCCUCCUACAGAAACAACAAAACUUACAUCUACAGCUGAACCAACAACCACAACUGUUUUAACAUCUAUGACAGAACAAUCAACUACAUCUGAACACAGCACCACAAUGCAGAUGGCAACAACAUCCCUACCUACAACAAGUACAGCUCAAUCUACAACUGAGGUUACAACAAACUCACCUACAACUACAACUCUUCUUACAACUACAACCCCUACUACAGAAACAACAAGACUUACAUCUACUGCUGAACCAACAACCACAACUGCUUCAUCAUCUACAACUGAAUUAACAACCAUAACUGCUUCAACACCUUCAACUGAACAAUCAACUACAUCUGAACAAAGCACCCCAAUGCAGACAACAACAUCAUUCCUACCUACAACAAGUACAGCUCAAUCUACAACCCUGGUUACAACAAACUCACCUACAACUACAUCUCGGGUUACAAUUACAGCCCCUCCUACAGAAACAACAACAAAACUUACAUCUACAGCUGAACCAACAACCACAACUGUUUUAACAUCUAUGACAGAACAAUCAACUACAUCUGAACACAGCACCACAACGCAGACGGCAACAACUUCCCUACCUACAACAAGUACAGCUCAAUCUACAACCCUGGUUACAACAAACUCACCUACAACUACAUCUCGGGUUACAAUUACAGCCUCUCCUACAGAAACAACAACAAAACUUACAUCUACAGCUGAACCAACAACCAAAACUCUUUUAACAUCUACAACUGAACCAACAACCACAACUGCUUCAUCAUCUACAACUGAAUCAACAACCACAACUGUUUUAACAUCUACAACAGAACAAUCAACUAUAUCUGAACAAAGCACCACAAUACAGAUGGCAACAACAUCACUACUUUCAAGAAGUACAGCUCAAUCUACAACUGAGGUUACAACAAACUCACCUACAACUGCAACUCUGCUUACAACUACAACACCUCCUACAGAAAGAACAAGAAUUACAUCUACUGCUGAACCAGCAACCACAGCUGCUUCAUCGUUUACAACUGAACUAACAACCAUAACUGCUUCAACACCUACAACUGAACAAUCAACUACAUCUGAACAAAGCACCCCAAUGCAGACAACAACAUCAUCCCUACCUACAACAAGUACAGCUCAAUCUACAACCCUGGUUACAACAAACUCACCUACAACUACAUCUCGGAUUACAAUUACAGCCCCUCCUACAGAAACAACAACAAGACAACUUACAUCUACGGCUGAACCAAUAAUUACAACUGUUUUAACAUCUACAACAGAACAAUCAACUACAUCAGGACAAAGCACCACAACACAGACGGCAACAACGUCCCUACCUACAACAAGUACAGCUCAAUCUACAACUGAGGUUACAACAAACUCACCUACAACUGCAACUCUGCUUACAACUCCAGGCCCUCCAACAGAAACAACAACAACACAACUUACAUCUACAACUGAACUAACAACCACGACUGCUUCAACAUCUACAACUGAACAAUCAACUACAUCUGAACAAAGCACCCCAAUGCAGACAACAACAUCAUCCUUACCUACAACAAGUACAGCUCAAUCUACAACCCUGGUUACAACAAACUCACCUAUAACUACAUCACAGGUUACAAUUACAGCCCCUCCUACAGAAACAACAACAAAACUUACAUCUACAGCUGAACCAACAACCACAGCUGUUUUAACAUCUACAACUGAACCAACAACCACAACUGCUUCAUCAUCUACAGCUGAACCAACAAGCACAACUGUUUUAACAUCUACGACAGAACAAUCAACUACAUCUGAACAAAGCACCACAACGCAGACGGCAACAACAUCCCUACCUACAACAAGUACAGCUCAAUCUACAACUGAGGUUACAACAAACUCACCUACAACUACAACCCCUCCUACAGAAACAACAAGACUUACAUCUACUGCUGAACCAACAACCACAACUGCUUCAUCAUCUACAACUGAACUAACAACCAUAACUGCUUCAACACCUACAACUGAACAAUCAACUACAUCUGAACAAAGCAGCCCAAUGCAGACAACAACAUCAUCCUUACCUAUAACAAGUACAGCUCAAUCUACAACCCUGGUUACAACAAACUCACCUAUAACUACAUCACAGGUUACAAUUACAGCCCCUCCUACAGAAACAACAACAAAACUUACAUCUACAGCUGAACCAAAAACCACAACUGAUUCAUCAUCUACAGCUGAACCAACAACCACAACUGAUUCAUCAUCUACAGCUGAACCAACAACCACAACUAUUUUAACAUCUACAACAGAACAAUCAACUAAAUCAGGACAAAGCACCACAACACAGACGGCAACAACAUCCCUACCUACAACAAGUACAGCUCAAUCUACAACUGAGGUUACAACAAACUCACCUACAACUGCAACUCUGCUUACAACUCCAGGCCCUCCAACAGAAACAACACAACUUACAUCUACGGGUAAACCAACAACAACAACUGUUUUAAGAUCUACAACUGAACCAACAACUACAACUGUUUUAACAUCUACAACUGAACAAUCAACAACACCUGAACAAAGCACCACAAUGCAGACAACAACAACAUCCUUACCUACAAAAAAUACACCUCAAUCUACAACCGUGGUUACAGCAAACUCACUUACAAGUACAUCUCAGUUUACAACCACAGCCCCUCCUACAGAAACAACAACACAACUUACAUCUAUGGCUGAACCAACAACGACAACUGUUUUAACAUCUACAACAGAACAAUCAACUACAUCUGAACAAAGCACCACAAUGCAGUCAACAACAACAUCCCUACCUACAACAAGUACAGCUCAAUCCACAACUGAGGUUACAACAAACUCACCUACAACUGCAACUCUGUUUACAACUACAGCCCCUCCUACAGAAACAACAACCACACAACUUACAUCUACAGCUGAACCAACAACCACAACUGCGUCAACAUCUACAACUGAAAAAUCAACUAUACCCGAACAAAGCACCACAACACAGACAGCAACAACAUCCCUACAUACAACAAGUACAGCUCAAUCUACAACCCUGAUUUCAACAAACUCAGCUACACCUACAUCUCGGGUUACAAUUACAGCCCCUCCUACAGAAACAACAACAACACAACUUACAUCUACAGCUGAACCAACAACCAUAACUGUUUUAACAUCUACGGCUGAACCAACAACCACAACUGUUUUAACAUCUACAACAAAACAAUCAAUUACAUCCCAACACAGCACCACAACACAGACAGCAACAACAUACCUACCUACAACAAGUACAGCUCAAUCUACAACCCUGGUUACAACAAACAUGACUGUUACAUCAAGCUCAGCUACACAAACGACACAAUUCUGCUUAAAAGUGACACAACAGCUGAUACAAUACUGCUCAGCAACAACUGAAACUCUGUCUACAACCACUGCCAAACCUACACAAAAACCUGACUCAACAAACUCACCUGCAUCUGCAACAACAGAAUCUAUGACUGUUACAGUAAACUCAGUCCCUUCCACAGAAACAACAACAACAACAACACAACUUACAUCUACGGCUGAACCAACAACUACAACCAGAGCUCAAUCAACAACAACCCCAGGCACAACCCAGACAGUUUUUGUUAGUUUUUCCAGCAGUGAAAUUUUUGUCUCUGAUCUGUCAAAUCCAGCUUCAGAAGCAUAUAAAAACAGAGAAAAGAAUGUCAACGAUACGUUGACACCAUUCUUUAGAAAUGCAUUGCCCUCCUUCAAAGGACUGGCAGUUAUUCAGUUCCGUAAUGGGUCAAUCAUCACUGAUAUGAAUGUGACAUUUGGAACCUUACCCAGUGAUGUUGAGAUAGAAAACACUAUUAUGAAAGCUAAUGCCACUCUCAGUAUCACCAGUGUAACAAUAUGGAAGCCCUUCACCACAACUACCAAAGCCACUACAACCAGUUCCACUACAAUUACAACUACAACCACACCUAACACAACAACAGCAGCAGCAACAACAACAACCACAACAUCUACUGCCAAUCCUAAUACAACAGCAUCACCAGCAACCACAACAUCUACUGUCAAUCCUAAUACAACAGCAACAA
Molecule: long non-coding RNA, 6071 nt
Organism: Cyprinus carpio carpio
Lineage: Eukaryota; Metazoa; Chordata; Actinopteri; Cypriniformes; Cyprinidae
Source: Ensembl